AUUGAACGCUGGCGGCAGGCUUAACACAUGCAAGUCGAGCGGGUGAAGGUAGCUUGCUACCGGACCUAGCGGCGGACGGGUGAGUAAUGCUUAGGAAUCUGCCUAUUAGUGGGGGACAACAUCUCGUAAGGGAUGCUAAUAACGCAUACGUCCUACGGGAGAACGCAGUGGAUCUGCGGACCCUGCGCUCAUCAAUGAGUCUAAAUCGGAUUAGCUAGUUGUUGGGGUAAAGGCCUGCCAAGGCGACGAUCUGUAGCGGGUCUUAGAGGAUGAUCCGCCACACUGGGACUGAGACACGGCCCAGACUCCUACGGGAGGCAGCAGUGGGGAAUAUUGGACAAUGGGGGGAACCCUGAUCCAGCCGUGCCGCGUGUUUGAAGAAGGCCUUAUGGUUGUAAAGCACUUUAAGCGAGGAGGAGGCUACUUUAGUUAAUACGUGGAGAUAGUGGACGUUACUCGCAGAAUAAGCACCGACUAACUCUGUGCCAGCAGCCGCCGUAA
This 501-nucleotide ribosomal RNA is filed under the name uncultured bacterium. RNAcentral describes it as "partial 16S ribosomal RNA". It matches the Rfam family "Bacterial small subunit ribosomal RNA", at positions 30 to 523 of the family's 1533-position model. The record is from RNAcentral.